CCAUGACCAAAACAAAACAUGAAUCUAUGUGCUUUUAUGCCUGUUUGUUUUCUAUGGUUUUUAACGCUGCUUUAUAUGUGCUUUUUUUUGCUGUAGGUGGCGAUGAUGGGGUGGUAGAAGAGAACAGAUCUACUAGGCUAGCUGUAGCUUCUCAAUGCCUGUAUGAUAUUUUGAUCCAAUCUUCUGUGGUAAAAGAUAAAAUAACACUUGGGAUCUGUAUGUGUUAUUAGCCCCUGUGGUACUCUGUUUGUUUCCAGGUCUGCAGAGUUUAGUUUCUGUAGAUAUUUGAGUUAAGAGGAGACUAAGCCAUGAAGUAAAAGAGAUGCCUAGUUUUUUUUUCCUUCAAUAUGGUAGCCAGCAUUGUAUCAUGUAGAAUUUUAAUCCAGGACAGAAGUGGUUCCAUGUAUAUGGGGGAAACCAAACCACACAAGAAGCUAUCAGCUAUGCCUGUUCUACUGUUGGUGUGGCUUCUCUAUCUCAUUAGGUACUGGUCUUCUGGACAUAACUUAUGAUGUGAUUACACUGGAUUCCUUUACACUGAAGUCAAAUCGGGGGCAGGCUAUUCAGCAAUGUUUCAGAAACAUGUUCACUGGAAUUCCGACA
RNAcentral lists this long non-coding RNA (603 nucleotides) under Zea mays. RNAcentral's name for it is "long non-coding RNA (ZMAY_LNC002501)". Lineage: Eukaryota; Viridiplantae; Streptophyta; Magnoliopsida; Poales; Poaceae. The record is from RNAcentral.